UGAUUGGCCACUAACAAGAAUGGUGUCUUUCUAGAUUUAUCAAUGAUCAGGGUUCAUCUUGAUCAACCUUCAUUUGUGACGUCUUGUCCUUCGAACACAUACGAACAACACGAAAGAAUCUAGAGUAGUCAAUGAUCAUCGCAAAAAGAUAUCUGGCUUUGUUUGCAGACAUGACAUUAGCUGAUCCGUAGAAAUCCAUACGUAUCAUCUGAAGCGGCUCAGUAAUGUUGAUCAUAUCUUUGCUUCUGUGCGAUGCUCCUUCGACUUCCCUAUUGACAUACCUCAUAAUCUUCAUCCAUAUUGAAUUCCAGAUGAG
This 316-nucleotide long non-coding RNA is filed under the name Daucus carota (carrot). RNAcentral's name for it is "long non-coding RNA (DCAR_LNC000930)". The record is from RNAcentral. Lineage: Eukaryota; Viridiplantae; Streptophyta; Magnoliopsida; Apiales; Apiaceae.